RNAcentral lists this ribosomal RNA (433 nucleotides) under uncultured bacterium. RNAcentral describes it as "partial 16S ribosomal RNA". It matches the Rfam family "Bacterial small subunit ribosomal RNA", at positions 29 to 507 of the family's 1533-position model. The record is from RNAcentral.
AACGAACGCUGGCGGCAGGCCUAACACAUGCAAGUCGAGCGGACCCUUCGGGGUUAGCGGCGGACGGGUGAGUAACGCGUGGGAAUAUGCCCUUCUCUACGGAAUAGUCCUGGGAAACUGGGGGUAAUACCGUAUACGCCCUUUGGGGGAAAGAUUUAUCGGGGAAGGAUUAGCCCGCGUUGGAUUAGGUAGUUGGUGGGGUAAUGGCCUACCAAGCCGACGAUCCAUAGCUGGUUUGAGAGGAUGAUCAGCCACACUGGGACUGAGACACGGCCCAGACUCCUACGGGAGGCAGCAGUGGGGAAUCUUAGACAAUGGGGGCAACCCUGAUCUAGCCAUGCCGCGUGAUUGAUGAAGGCCUUAGGGUUGUAAAGCUCUUUCAGCUGGGAAGAUAAUGACGGUACCAGCAGAAGAAGCCCCGGCUAACUCCGUG